Molecule: non-coding RNA, 501 nt
Organism: Paramuricea clavata
Lineage: Eukaryota; Metazoa; Cnidaria; Anthozoa; Malacalcyonacea; Plexauridae
Source: the annotation of a GenBank genome assembly
UACUCACCUAAACACACUUUACAAAAAUUAUGAAAGCAAGCCAAGCUUCGUGGUUCUUGUAGGGUUUCCAAACACAUGCAACAUGUGAGUAAUUCGUUGAUUUCAUCAACAGGAACACUUUCCGAUGAAGCACUUGCCAUUUCAAUUAAAUCUUUCUUACUUCACAAUUCAAGAUAACAUAUUUGUGUCUUCUUUCCAACGAAAUGAUCGCAUAAAAUCUUGCCACAAAUACUGUACUGCCAAAUUGAAAGUGUUGCGUUCAUUUAGAAUUGUGAAAUACCCGGAAGGCCGGAAACGUAAAUAUUCUUGGAAUUAAGCCCGCGAUUAGGCUGGGACAGUGACCUCAAUAUAAAACUGGACUGAUGGCAUUAAAGUUGGUUAGCUUUCGGGUAAAUUCUUCAUUUUUAGCCCUCCCUUUCUAAUAGCUCCCUUGAAUUACUCCUUCUCGUUUUUAAGGCAUAUCUGUAGCAUACGACUAGUCGUAUACAAUUCUCAUCCUGG